GACGAACGCUGGCGGCGUGCUUAACACAUGCAAGUCGAACGGAAAGGCCUCUUUCGGGGGGUACUCGAGUGGCGAACGGGUGAGUAACACGUGAGUAACCUGCCCUUGACUUUGGGAUAACUUCAGGAAACUGGGGCUAAUACCGGAUAGGAGCUCCUGCUGCAUGGUGGGGGUUGGAAAGUUUCGGCGGUUGGGGAUGGACUCGCGGCUUAUCAGCUUGUUGGUGGGGUAGUGGCUUACCAAGGCUUUGUCGGGUAGCCGGCCUGAGAGGGUGACCGGCCACAUUGGGACUGAGAUACGGCCCAGACUCCUACGGGAGGGAGGAGUGGGGAAUAUUGCACAAUGGGUGGAAGCCUGAUGCAGCAACGCCGUGUGCGGGAUGACGGCCUUCGGGUUGUAAACCGCUUUCGCUCAUGACGAAGCUUUGUGUGACGGUAGUGGGUAAAGAAGCACCGGCUAACUACGUG
Molecule: ribosomal RNA, 467 nt
Filed under: uncultured bacterium
Lineage: Bacteria
Description: partial 16S ribosomal RNA
Rfam family: Bacterial small subunit ribosomal RNA
Source: RNAcentral